ACUUAUUUAGAUUUACAGUAUAUAAAUUGAGAGCAAAUUUAUUUUUACAUUUCUACAUAAAUAAGAAAAAUCCUUUACAGAAAACAUUUCAUUACUGAAUACAGUUACUCUAAAAACACAGAUACAAACAGAUGGCAAUAUAUUCUAAAUAUGAAAGUUGCAUAACUGUAAUUACAGUUUUUCUCAAUUGCUAAAACACUAAAACCCAUUGGCUGAACAAAGUUCUCAGUUACCUGAACUCAUUUAGCUAAUUGUGCAGUCUGUUGUCAAUACCUUAAACCAUUUCACAUGGUAAAACACAAUUUGCAGAUCUCACUUAGACUUUUCAGCAAAUCUCUAAACACAUUCUCAUUCUCAAAACACAUUCUGCACUCUAAUGCAUAUGUCAUCCAUACUGGUAAACACAAGUAGCAACAAUCAAAGACAAAUAGAGAACACAUGUCAUUGAUUGAACACAACCACUCAAAAUUGAUUUCACUUGUUUCAAAUGAUGUGACACAACCAAUAUAAGCCAAUUCAGAGAGCAAACAGGUUGAUGAAGGUUCAUAUCAACAAAGAAUUACAAGAAUUACAGUAUCACAGAGACAAAGGACAAGUUUGUGAGCUGCAGGGUACAGUACUGUAAAAAUAGGGGUACAAGGAGGAGGAAGAACAACAAAAAUUGCAAAGAGCAAAGCAGAGUAGUAAUUUCUGAUCAAUUUUGAGCUACUAUGAUAGAACAUGUUUUCGUUCAUUUAAAGACAAUGACAGAAAAUGAUGAAAUUUGUUUUGAGAUUAAAAAUGUACUUCUCCCUGAGAACUAUAUGUUUUGAACAAUGUGGUUUCUAUUUUUUGGUGUAUUGUUUACUGACUGCUUGAUAGUGUAUAUCAUUUUGAUCACCUUGUUUAUGAUUUGAGAGCAGGGUUUGAUUUAGAACACAGGUAAAACUGUUUUGAGGCGAAAGUUUCAUUUUGCGAGAGGAGUCAGAGGUUUUGUAAAUAGUGCUUGAAGAUGAGGUUUUGUGUUUAAUGUUUUCAGAAAAUGGAGCAAUUUUCAAAAAUUGUGUUUUAGCAAUUGAGAAAAACUGUAAUAUGAAAUGUUCUCAUCCGUCAUGGAUUUCAUUACGAAGUAAAGGCUGAUUUUCUCAAACAGGUGAGAUUCCAAAGAAAAAGAGAAAUGUUUACCCAUUUGGGUCACUAUAUACUAUCUACUGUAAGUCAUUAGUGCACAGCUAGUGUAGUUUGCAUUAAAACUAAUGUUAUAACAUGAAUGAACUUAAUAUGUUUUAAUAAAA
Sander lucioperca (pikeperch) is the source of this 1274-nucleotide long non-coding RNA. RefSeq lists it as uncharacterized. The record is from RefSeq and is a predicted model, not a curated record. Lineage: Eukaryota; Metazoa; Chordata; Actinopteri; Perciformes; Percidae. The transcript is spliced from 3 exons.